UACGGGGGGAGCAAGCGUUGUUCGGAUUUACUGGGCGUAAAGGGCGCGUAGGCGGCCACUGCAAGUCGACUGUGAAAUCUCCGGGCUUAACCCGGAAAGGUCAGCCGAUACUGCGGGGCUAGAGUGCAGAAGGGGCAACUGGAAUUCUCGGUGUAGCGGUGAAAUGCGUAGAUAAUCGAGAGGAACACCUGCGGCGAAGGCGGGUUGCUGGGCUGACACGUGACGCUGAGGCGCGAAAGCUAGGGGAGCGAACGGG
RNAcentral lists this ribosomal RNA (256 nucleotides) under uncultured bacterium. Its description in RNAcentral is "partial 16S ribosomal RNA". It matches the Rfam family "Bacterial small subunit ribosomal RNA", at positions 524 to 776 of the family's 1533-position model. The record is from RNAcentral.